GGUGAGGUGGCAGAGCGGUUGAACGCACCGGUCUUGAAAACCGGUAAGGGGCGUAAGCCUCUUCAAGGGUUCGAAUCCCUUCCUCACCG
RNAcentral lists this transfer RNA (89 nucleotides) under Phycisphaerae bacterium. RNAcentral's name for it is "tRNA-Ser". It matches the Rfam family "tRNA". From Rfam's summary of the family: Transfer RNA (tRNA) molecules are approximately 80 nucleotides in length. Their secondary structure includes four short double-helical elements and three loops (D, anti-codon, and T loops). Further hydrogen bonds mediate the characteristic L-shaped molecular structure. tRNAs have two regions of fundamental functional importance: the anti-codon, which is responsible for specific mRNA codon recognition, and the 3' end, to which the tRNAs corresponding amino acid is attached (by aminoacyl-tRNA synthetases). tRNAs cope with the degeneracy of the genetic code in two manners: having more than one tRNA (with a specific anti-codon) for a particular amino acid; and 'wobble' base-pairing, i.e. permitting non-standard base-pairing at the 3rd anti-codon position. The record is from RNAcentral. Lineage: Bacteria; Pseudomonadati; Planctomycetota; Phycisphaerae.